AUUAAACGCUGGCGGCAUGCCUUACACAUGCAAGUCGAACGGCAGCACGGGGGCAACCCUGGUGGCGAGUGGCGGACGGGUGAGUAAAGCAUCGGAACGUAUCCUGGAGUGGGGGGAUAACGUAGCGAAAGUUACGCUAAUACCGCAUAUUCUGUGAGCAGGAAAGCAGGGGGAUCGCAAGACCUUGCGCUCUGGGAGCGGCCGAUGUCGGAUUAGCUAGUUGGUGGGGUAAAGGCCUACCAAGGCGACGAUCCGUAGCGGGUCUGAGAGGAUGAUCCGCCACACUGGGACUGAGACACGGCCCAGACUCCUACGGGAGGCAGCAGUGGGGAAUUUUGGACAAUGGGCGGAAGCCUGAUCCAGCCAUGCCGCGUGAGUGAAGAAGGCCUUCGGGUUGUUAAA
This 402-nucleotide ribosomal RNA is filed under the name uncultured bacterium. RNAcentral's name for it is "bacterial SSU rRNA". It matches the Rfam family "Bacterial small subunit ribosomal RNA", at positions 29 to 430 of the family's 1533-position model. The record is from RNAcentral.